This 441-nucleotide ribosomal RNA is filed under the name uncultured bacterium. RNAcentral's name for it is "bacterial SSU rRNA". It matches the Rfam family "Bacterial small subunit ribosomal RNA", at positions 958 to 1401 of the family's 1533-position model. The record is from RNAcentral.
AACGCGAAGAACCUUACCCAGGCUCGAAAUGUAGAGGACGACACCAGAAAUGGUGUUUCUCGUAAGGGCCUCUAUAUAGGUGCUGCAUGGCUGUCGUCAGCUCGUGCCGUGAGGUGUUGGGUUAAGUCCCGCAACGAGCGCAACCCUUAUUGUUAGUUGCCAACGAUUCGGUCGGGAACUCUAACAAGACUGCCUGGGUUAACCAGGAGGAAGGUGAGGAUGACGUCAAGUCCGCAUGGCCUUUAUGUCUGGGGCAACACACGUGCUACAAUGGCUGGUACAGAAGGCAGCGAAACCGCAAGGUGGAGCAAAUCCUAAAAAGCCAGUCUCAGUUCGGAUUGCAGUCUGCAACUCGACUGCAUGAAGUUGGAAUUGCUAGUAAUGGCGGGUCAGCUACACCGCCGUGAAUACGUUCCCGGGCCUUGUACACACCGCUACAGU